CCGCAUAACAACUUGGACCGCAUGGUCCGAGCUUGAAAGAUGGCUUCGGCUAUCACUUUUGGAUGGUCCCGCGGCGUAUUAGCUAGAUGGUGGGGUAACGGCUCACCAUGGCAAUGAUACGUAGCCGACCUGAGAGGGUAAUCGGCCACAUUGGGACUGAGACACGGCCCAAACUCCUACGGGAGGCAGCAGUAGGGAAUCUUCCACAAUGGACGAAAGUCUGAUGGAGCAACGCCGCGUGAGUGAAGAAGGGUUUCGGCUCGUAAAACUCUGUUGUUAAAGAAGAACAUAUCUGAGAGUAACUGUUCAGGUAUUGACGGUAUUUAACCAGAAAGCCACGGCUAACUACGUGCCAGCAGCCGCGGUAAUACGUAGGUGGCAAGCGUUGUCCGGAUUUAUUGGGCGUAAAGCGAGCGCAGGCGGUUUUUUAAGUCUGAUGUGAAAGCCUUCGGCUCAACCGAAGAAGUGCAUCGGAAACUGGGAAACUUGAGUGCAGAAGAGGACAGUGGAACUCCAUGUGUAGCGGUGAAAUGCGUAGAUAUAUGGAAGAACACCAGUGGCGAAGGCGGCUGUCUGGUCUGUAACUGACGCUGAGGCUCGAAAGUAUGGUA
This 611-nucleotide ribosomal RNA is filed under the name Lactiplantibacillus plantarum. Its description in RNAcentral is "bacterial SSU rRNA". It matches the Rfam family "Bacterial small subunit ribosomal RNA", at positions 169 to 766 of the family's 1533-position model. Lineage: Bacteria; Bacillati; Bacillota; Bacilli; Lactobacillales; Lactobacillaceae. The record is from RNAcentral.